GACGAACGCUGGCGGCGUGCUUAACACAUGCAAGUCGAGCGGAGCGGCGAACGGGUGCGUAACGCGUGAGUAACUGCCCCCCUCUCUGGGAUAACAGUUGGAAACGGCUGCUAAUACCGGAUAGUGGGGGAUGACUCGCGUCGUAUCAGCUUGUUGGUGGGGUAGUGGCCUACCAAGGCGACGACGGGUAGCCGGCCUGCGAGGGCGACCGGCCAAAUUGGGCUUAGAUACGGCCCAAACUCCUACGGGGGGCAGCAGUGGGGAAUAUUGCGCAGUCGUGGAAACCCUGAUGCAGCAACGCGCGUGCGUGAUGACGGCUUUCGGGUUGUAAACCGCGUUCAGCCAUGACGCGGUAGUGGCAGAAGAAGCACCGGCUAACUACGUGCCAGCAGCCGCGGUAAUAC
This 404-nucleotide ribosomal RNA is filed under the name uncultured bacterium. Its description in RNAcentral is "partial 16S ribosomal RNA". It matches the Rfam family "Bacterial small subunit ribosomal RNA", at positions 28 to 526 of the family's 1533-position model. The record is from RNAcentral.